AUGAACGCUGGCGGCGUGCCUAACACAUGCAAGUCGAACGAAGCGCCUGGCCCCGACUUCUUCGGAACGAGGAGCCUUGCGACUGAGUGGCGGACGGGUGAGUAACGCGUGGGCAACCUGCCUUGCACUGGGGGAUAACAGCCAGAAAUGGCUGCUAAUACCGCAUAAGACCGAAGCGCCGCAUGGCGCGGCGGCCAAAGCCCCGGCGGUGCAAGAUGGGCCCGCGUCUGAUUAGGUAGUUGGCGGGGUAACGGCCCACCAAGCCGACGAUCAGUAGCCGACCUGAGAGGGUGACCGGCCACAUUGGGACUGAGACACGGCCCAGACUCCUACGGGAGGCAGCAGUGGGGAAUAUUGCACAAUGGGGGAAACCCUGAUGCAGCGACGCCGCGUGAAGGAUGAAGUAUUUCGGUAUGUAAACUUCUAUCAGCAGGGAAGAAGAUGACGGUACCUGACUAAGAAGCCCCGGCUAAGUACGUGCCACAGCCGCGGUAAUACGUAGGGGGCAGGGGUUAUCCUGAUUUGCUGGGGUGUAAAGGGGAGCGUAGACGGGGGAGGCAAGCAGAUG
RNAcentral lists this ribosomal RNA (568 nucleotides) under uncultured bacterium. RNAcentral's name for it is "bacterial SSU rRNA". It matches the Rfam family "Bacterial small subunit ribosomal RNA", at positions 29 to 594 of the family's 1533-position model. The record is from RNAcentral.